UUUACUCUUGGAGAAUUAUGAGUAAAUGAGUCUGUCACAAAAAGUAUUAUAGGUUCAUGAAACUACAUCCAAACUUGUAUCUAUCCGAUUCCCGGUCAGCGAAAGCACCUGGCUUGAUUUUGGAUCACUACUCAUACUGAUGUCAUGCAGCUGCAGACACCACGAUCUCAUGAGAGGAAAGAGGCUGCAGUUUUUACAACCAGGCCUCUCAGUUACUCUGCACCAGCAUUUCCACACAGUGACAGGAACCUCCUGGUGCUCCUCCUGAGGAGUGCGCACAGCUCCAGCGAUGCGCGGAGGAUCCCCUGGGAGUUUAUUUGAGAGACACCACCUGCGGGGUUCUGAGUGGCAUCAUUAACAAAGGUUUUCUACAGACAAAGAUGUGAGAAGUGUCUUCAAGGAGAGACGGAUUCACUGCACAAGAAUCUCAGCUGCUGAAUCACUCUGAAGCCAGAACGCCUCAGCUGGAAAACAGGAAAAAAAACUAUAUAGUCAUAUAUGUAUCAUGUAUGUACAGUACAGACCAAAGGUUUGGACACGCAGUUGUGUCAAAACAUUUGGUCUGUACUGUACAUGUGCAUAUAAAUAUAGAUUUUCCAGUAUGUAUUAUUCAGUAUUAAUCAUUACUGAAUCAUCUUUGUUUCUCUAUAUUUGUAUUUUGUGUUUGUAUAUUUAUAGAAAUAUUUUACUAAUAUAUUGCUAAGUAAAUGUAUAAAACAUUAUGAUGUAAAAUUCUCAUCAUAAAAUCAGAAUAUUCU
Molecule: long non-coding RNA, 758 nt
Organism: Gambusia affinis (western mosquitofish)
Lineage: Eukaryota; Metazoa; Chordata; Actinopteri; Cyprinodontiformes; Poeciliidae
Exons: 3
Source: RefSeq, a predicted model, not a curated record